UACCCGUAGCACAAGUGGUGGUCAUUAUUAUUGGGCCUAAAGCGUCCGUAGCUGGCUUGUUAGAUGCCUGGGUAAAUCGAUGCGCUCAACGCAUCGAACUCCGGGUAGACCGGCAAGCUUGGGACCGGGAGAGGCGUGAGCUACUCGAGGGGUAGGGGUAAAAUCCUGUAAUCCUUCGGGGAGGACCAGUGGCGAAGGCGUCACGCUAGAACGGCUCCGACAGUGAGGGACGAAGCCCUGGGGCGCAAACCGG
Molecule: ribosomal RNA, 253 nt
Filed under: uncultured bacterium
Lineage: Bacteria
Description: partial 16S ribosomal RNA
Rfam family: Archaeal small subunit ribosomal RNA
Source: RNAcentral